RNAcentral lists this long non-coding RNA (1010 nucleotides) under Capra hircus (goat). RNAcentral's name for it is "lncRNA (ENSCHIG00000001879.1)". The record is from RNAcentral. Lineage: Eukaryota; Metazoa; Chordata; Mammalia; Artiodactyla; Bovidae.
GCACCUCGGGCUUACUAUCCUGCUGAAAAGGCUCCCAAAGGCAGCAGCACAGAGCGGGCGCAAACAUGAACCAAGACAAUGUGUCCGUGGAGCCUGUCCAGGGUCAGUUUCUCUGCCACUCCACCCUCCUCCUCUCCUCUCUAAUUAGACGAGGAUCGAGGAUCGCUCUCCACUCUCACCGGCCACCACCGAAGCUCGACUGAGAGCAGCUGGAAUCUGGGAACACUACCUGCAGCACCAGAACCUAAGAAAAAUCGCGAUUCCCUGCCACCAACAUCUCAUGCCAUCCCCAUGCACCCCUCCAAGCCCCACAGGAAAGAGCCUACGGGAGAAACAGCUGGGAUGCACACUGACUUGGAAAUCUCAGUUCUAGGAACCGUGUCUUUUCAUCCCGGAGGUGCUUCUAUGAAGGUGUUUUGGAAUGAGAUGAGCUGGUUGGAUGGCAUCAUUGACUCAGUUGACGUGAGUUUGAGAAAAUGAAGGACAGAAGCUUGCAGAAGCCUGGCUUGCUGCAGUCCAUGGGAUUGCAAUGAGCUGGACACGACUGGGAAACUGAACAACAAACUUUGAGUGAAGCAAAUUGCCCCCCAUUAUGUGGGUAAGCCUCAUCCAACGUGCUGAAGACCUGAACAGAACAAAAAGACUGACCCUCCUAUAAGUAACAGAGACGUCUCCUGAAGACAGACUUCAGACUUGAACUAGAACGUCAGCCUUUCUGGGUCUCCAACUUAAUGGCCUUUGGACUAGAAUCGUAGCAUCAGCCUCAUGGGUCUCCAGCCUGCCAGCCCAUCCUGGCACAUUUUCAGCCUCUGUAAUCAUGUAAGUUAAUUCCUUAUAAUAAAUCUCUCUCUGUAUUUAUACACUUCCUGUUGGUUCUAUUUCUCUGGAGAACCCUGAAUAAUACAGAAAUUCUGUCUUUCAGCUCAAAUUCAGACUGAUAGACUCUCUAUGCCUUUACGUAAGUCAUCCUUAUAUUUGCCUUUAUGCUUUCUUGUGUUGGGCUCCUAAUU